UUGGGUUAAGUCCCGUAACGAGCGCAACCCUUGCCUAGUUACCAGCACGUUAUGGUGGGCACUCUAAGGAGACUGCCGGUGACAAACCGGAGGAAGGUGGGGAUGACGUCAAGUCAUCAUGGCCCUUACGGCCUGGGCUACACACGUGCUACAAUGGUCGGUACAAAGGGUUGCCAAGCCGCGAGGUGGAGCUAAUCCCAUAAAACCGAUCGUAGUCCGGAUCGCAGUCUGCAACUCGACUGCGUGAAGUCGGAAUCGCUAGUAAUCGUGAAUCAGAAUGUCACGGUGAAUACGUUCCCGGGCCUU
RNAcentral lists this ribosomal RNA (306 nucleotides) under uncultured Pseudomonas sp. RNAcentral describes it as "bacterial SSU rRNA". It matches the Rfam family "Bacterial small subunit ribosomal RNA", at positions 1075 to 1382 of the family's 1533-position model. Lineage: Bacteria; Pseudomonadati; Pseudomonadota; Gammaproteobacteria; Pseudomonadales; Pseudomonadaceae. The record is from RNAcentral.